RNAcentral lists this ribosomal RNA (456 nucleotides) under Triticum aestivum (bread wheat). Its description in RNAcentral is "partial small subunit ribosomal RNA". The record is from RNAcentral. Lineage: Eukaryota; Viridiplantae; Streptophyta; Magnoliopsida; Poales; Poaceae.
AUGCUUAAGAUUGACCUAGCUAAAGCUUUUGAUCGUCUAGAAUGGAAUUUCAUCGUCUCUGUGCUUACAGGUAUAGGGUUGCAUGGCCAUUUCAUAAAUUUGAUUUAUGCUUGCAUCUCCACACCAACUUUCUCUGUCAUCAUUAAUGGCCAGCCUUCUCGUAAAUUCAAGAACCAAAGAGGGAUUCGUCAGGGCUGCCCUUCGUCACCAUACUUGUUUGUCAUUGCUAUUAAUGAAUUGUCUCUUGCCCUUAAUGAUGCUUUGUCUGCUAAUCAUCUUCAGGGUAUAGUACUUGCUCCAAAUGUCCCUCCUAUUCACUCUCUUCUCUUUGGAGACGAUCUUUUGGUUUGUGGGCAGGCCACUUCUCAAGAAGCUUACUCUAUGUCAAAUCAUUCACCAUUUUUGUGCACUUUCAAGUCAAACCCCAAAUUGGUCGAAAUCUGCUAUUCAUUUUAG